This 439-nucleotide ribosomal RNA is filed under the name Unionicola sp. 2 AVK-2020. Its description in RNAcentral is "partial large subunit ribosomal RNA". Lineage: Eukaryota; Metazoa; Arthropoda; Arachnida; Trombidiformes; Unionicolidae. The record is from RNAcentral.
GAAACCGUUUGCAGGGAAACAGAUGGACCCACGAAGUCCAGUUGAGUGUGAAAUUCACAUUUCAAGACUGUUUAACUUAAGUAUACAGCUUCUAUCGAAGUUGUCCUUACGUUUUUGACUGUCAAGAGAUGCAUUUUUCACAUUCACGAUGGAGCUCUGACUUCUUAAACAAACCAAACUGCUUGGGGCAGCUCUUAUAUGUAGUAGGGUUCAUGUAAUCCUUAAUACAUAUUUGAGUGUUCAGUGAGGUUUAACUGAGAAGUUGAAUUUCUCACCUUUGUGAGUGAUUCAGUUUAUCAGAGAAUAUAUUAGGUAGGAAAGAGGCAAAUGGCUCUUUUUCGACUCUUGUAGUUGAAAGUGUCAUUUGUUCGCUUUCCAAAUUAUCUAAUAUAUUUGCUAAUGAUAAUCCAGAGUAAGUAGGUCGGUCAUCCAUCUGACC